Molecule: ribosomal RNA, 452 nt
Filed under: Veillonella dispar
Lineage: Bacteria; Bacillati; Bacillota; Negativicutes; Veillonellales; Veillonellaceae
Description: bacterial SSU rRNA
Rfam family: Bacterial small subunit ribosomal RNA
Source: RNAcentral
GACGAACGCGGCGGCGUGCUUAACACAUGCAAGUCGAACGAAGAGCGAUGGAAGCUUGCUUCUAUCAAUCUUAGUGGCGAACGGGUGAGUAACGCGUAAUCAACCUGCCCUUCAGAGGGGGACAACAGUUGGAAACGACUGCUAAUACCGCAUACGAUCUAAUCUCGGCAUCGAGGAAAGAUGAAAGGAGGCCUCUAUGUAUAAGCUAUCACUGAAGGAGGGGAUUGCGUCUGAUUAGCUAGUUGGAGGGGUAACGGCCCACCAAGGCGAUGAUCAGUAGCCGGUCUGAGAGGAUGAACGGCCACAUUGGGACUGAGACACGGCCCAGACUCCUACGGGAGGCAGCAGUGGGGAAUCUUCCGCCUAUGGACGAAAGUCUGACGGAGCAACGCCGCCUGAGUGAUGACGGCCUUCGGGUUGUAAAGCUCUGUUAAUCGGGAUGAAAGGCCUUC